GGCGGACGGGUGAGUAACACGUAGGUAACCUGCCCCGGAGCGGGGGAUAACAUUUGCGAAACAGAUGCUAAUACCGCAUAACAACAAAAGCCACAUGGCUUUUGUUUGAAAGAUGGCUUUGGCUAUCACUCUGGGAUGGACCUGCGGUGCAUUAGCUAGUUGGUAAGGUAACGGCUUACCAAGGCGAUGAUGCAUAGCCGAGUUGAGAGACUGAUCGGCCACAAUGGAACUGAGACACGGUCCAUACUCCUACGGGAGGCAGCAGUAGGGAAUCUUCCACAAUGGGCGCAAGCCUGAUGGAGCAACACCGCGUGAGUGAAGAAGGGUUUCGGCUCGUAAAGCUCUGUUGUUGGAGAAGAACGUGCGUGGGAGUAACUGUUCACGCAGUGACGGUAUCCAACCAGAAAGUCACGGCUAACUACGUGCCAGCAGCCGCGGUAAUACGUAGGUGGCAUGCGUUAUCCGGAUUUAUUGGGCGUAAAGCGAGCGCAGGCGGUUGCUUAGGUCUGAUGUGAAAGCCUUCGGCUUAACCGAAGAAGUGCAUCGGAAACCGGGCAACUUGAGUGCAGAAGAGGACAGGGGAACUCCAUGUGUAGCGGUGGAAUGCGUAGAUAUAUGGAAGAACACCAGUGGCGAAAGCGGCUGUCUGGUCUGCAACUGACGCUGAGGCUCGAAAGCAUGGGUAGC
This 687-nucleotide ribosomal RNA is filed under the name uncultured bacterium. RNAcentral's name for it is "bacterial SSU rRNA". It matches the Rfam family "Bacterial small subunit ribosomal RNA", at positions 97 to 769 of the family's 1533-position model. The record is from RNAcentral.